Molecule: ribosomal RNA, 785 nt
Filed under: uncultured bacterium
Lineage: Bacteria
Description: bacterial SSU rRNA
Rfam family: Bacterial small subunit ribosomal RNA
Source: RNAcentral
AGAGUUUGAUCCUGGCUCAGGAUGAACGCUAGCGGGAGGCUUAACACAUGCAAGUCGAGGGGUAAGGUAGCAAUAUCUGAGACCGGCGCACGGGUGAGUAACGCGUAUGCAACCUGCCCUUUACAGGGGGAUAGCCCGUCGAAAGGCGGAUUAAUACCCCAUAAUAUGGUACCAUCGCAUGAUGGAACCAUAAAAGCUUCGGCGGUAAAGGAUGGGCAUGCGUGACAUUAGCUGGUUGGUAGGGUAAUGGCCUACCAAGACUACGAUGGCUAGGGGGUCUGAGAGGAUGAUCCCCCACACUGGUACUGAGACACGGACCAGACUCCUACGGGAGGCAGCAGUGAGGAAUAUUGGUCAAUGGGCGCAAGCCUGAACCAGCCAUGCCGCGUGAAGGAUGAAUGCCCUAUGGGUUGUAAACUUCUUUUGUACGGGACGAAACCCCUGAACGUGUUCGGGGCUGACGGUACUGUACGAAUAAGCAUCGGCUAACUCCGUGCCAGCAGCCGCGGUAAUACGGAGGAUGCAAGCGUUAUCCGGAUUCAUUGGGUUUAAAGGGUGCGUAGGCGGGAAAAUAAGUCAGUGGUGAAAGCCUACAGCUUAACUGUAGAAUUGCCAUUGAUACUGUUAUUCUUGAGUACAGUUGAAGUGGGUGGAAUGUGUGGUGUAGCGGUGAAAUGCUUAGAUAUCACACAGAACGCCAAUUGCGAAGGCAGCUCACUAAGCUGUUACUGACGCUGAGGCACGAAAGCGUGGGGAUCAAACAGGAUUAGAUACCCUGGUAGUCC